GACAGACAGACAGACAGACAGACAGACAGACAGACAGACAGACAGAUAGGUUGAUAGACAGAUAGGUAGACAGGUUGAUAGAUAGAUAGAUGGAUAGAUGGAUGGAUGGAUGGAUGGAUGGAUGGAUGGAUGGAUGGAUGGAUGGAUGGAUAGGUAGGUAGGUAGGUAGGUAGAUAGAUAGGUAGGUAGAUAGAUAGAUAGAUAGAUAGAUAGAUAGAUAGAUAGAUAGAUAGAUAGAUCUAACUGAAGACUUAAAUAAGCGGCUGGCACCCCCAAAGGCUUAUGGAAAAUCCCUCUGUUGUUUCCCAAAACAAGUGGCUGGUGAUCAUUGUGACCCCCCAAAAAAAAAAUAUAUAUCUCAGUAUGUAUCUUUAAAUAUGUAGCUGCCAAAAGCCUUAUAGAUAAUCCUUUUACUGCAACAUAUUUUGCUAUAAAGCCUAGACAAUCCUGCUGGAAUGAGGACCCGAAACCCUCAGUGACCGUCAGUCCAAUGCUGUUACCCAAGAUGACUGUCCCUCUUCACUGGAACAACUUGCCAUUAUAUACUGUUAAUGGUUUAGCCUUCACAGUAUUGCUACCUGACAGAAUCGUUUAGCCUUCACAGUAUUGCUGCCUUAAAGAAUCGUUUAGCCUUCACAGUAUUGCUGCCUUAAAGAAUCGUUUAGCCUUCACAGUAUUGCUACCUUAAAGAAUCAUUUAGCCUUCACAGUAUUGCUACCUUAAAGAAUCGUUUAGCCUUCACAGUAUUGCUACCUGACAGAAUUAUAGAAAUGUUAAUGAAGUGAUUUCUGUUUUGAGAGCAGUAUAUAUUUGUGCAUUAUGUAUCAAUAUACAAAAUAAACUGUAUUCAAGUCAA
This is a long non-coding RNA of Oncorhynchus tshawytscha (Chinook salmon), 856 nucleotides long. NCBI's taxonomy places the organism in Eukaryota, Metazoa, Chordata, Actinopteri, Salmoniformes, Salmonidae. The record is from Ensembl.